AUCCACCUGAUGAGUCUUAAAUAGGACGAAGCGCACAUCUUGGAU
Non-coding RNA from Schistosoma rodhaini, 45 nucleotides. NCBI's taxonomy places the organism in Eukaryota, Metazoa, Platyhelminthes, Trematoda, Strigeidida, Schistosomatidae. The record is from Rfam.